GCCGGGAUGGCGGAAUUGGUAGACGCACCAGACUCAAAAUCUGGCGAUGGCAACAUCGUGGGGGUUCGAUUCCCCCUCCCGGCACCA
RNAcentral lists this transfer RNA (87 nucleotides) under Burkholderiales bacterium. Its description in RNAcentral is "tRNA-Leu". It matches the Rfam family "tRNA". From Rfam's summary of the family: Transfer RNA (tRNA) molecules are approximately 80 nucleotides in length. Their secondary structure includes four short double-helical elements and three loops (D, anti-codon, and T loops). Further hydrogen bonds mediate the characteristic L-shaped molecular structure. tRNAs have two regions of fundamental functional importance: the anti-codon, which is responsible for specific mRNA codon recognition, and the 3' end, to which the tRNAs corresponding amino acid is attached (by aminoacyl-tRNA synthetases). tRNAs cope with the degeneracy of the genetic code in two manners: having more than one tRNA (with a specific anti-codon) for a particular amino acid; and 'wobble' base-pairing, i.e. permitting non-standard base-pairing at the 3rd anti-codon position. RNAcentral also lists the same sequence under 1 other name. The record is from RNAcentral. Lineage: Bacteria; Pseudomonadati; Pseudomonadota; Betaproteobacteria; Burkholderiales.